UUAUGAUAUCAUGGUCAUUGCUGACCGCUCAUACAAUCCCUGCAAUUGCUUUGUAGUUUAUGCUGAAAUUGUACGACGGUCAGCAAAGACCUUUGAUAUCAAAUA
This 105-nucleotide microRNA precursor is filed under the name Medicago truncatula (barrel medic). Its description in RNAcentral is "miRNA gene16423". It matches the Rfam family "MIR2587 microRNA precursor family". Lineage: Eukaryota; Viridiplantae; Streptophyta; Magnoliopsida; Fabales; Fabaceae. The record is from RNAcentral.